RNAcentral lists this unclassified non-coding RNA (2351 nucleotides) under Dimorphilus gyrociliatus. RNAcentral describes it as "dgyrCDS14173". Lineage: Eukaryota; Metazoa; Annelida; Polychaeta; Dinophilidae. The record is from RNAcentral.
CAUUUUCUCCGUGGCGCAUGCGCUUUAAGUUCUAUUUGACAACAUGGACAAGAGUAUUUUCUUGAAAUCAAUGUUAAUUGUUGUCGUCAUGUGUCUUUUGAACUGUAAUUGGUGCCAUGGAAUGAAGAUAAGUAGGGUUCUACAAAAAUUCGAAACAGUUCGUGAUAAAUCAGGGAGAAAAUUCGACUUUUCCGAAGACUGUUAUUCAAUAAGUACGAAACGAAACAAGAGGAAUGUCAUUCUUCAAGAUUAUAUAACAAGUAUAAAAGUAAGUGACUAUAUGGAGAGUAAGGAUAUGACACCAAGAUAUUUGCUUGAAAAAUUAGCUAGUUUUUAUAAAGUACCGUCCGAACAUGUUCACUUAAAAAUGUGUGGUCAGAAAGCUUUGUUCUAUGUGGUUAAGAAAGAAGCUAAAGCUAAUUCUGUGGAUGUGAAAGACUGGAUAGCCCCUUAUCUUGUCAGUGCAAAAUUGAAUGCUGCUAUUGCUGCUGUUCCUUCCGAAAUAGGCUUGACGGCCCAGAGUCAGAAACAGUCUAAUGAGGAAGAUAAGAGCGUAAUGGAAUACGUUCCUUACGUAGUCGUCGCCGUUAUUUGCCUAGUGUUACUGGCUGUCAUAUUAUCGGUAUGGGCUUUUACUAGACGUAAGAAGUCAGAAAAAUGUCAGGAGCAGCGUUUAGUCUGCGUCUAUCCGAGUGUUAAGCCGAAUCUGAUCAGUACGAGUCAAGUACAGCCAGAUUCGCCCUCACCCAGCCCUUUCAGUACUCCGAAAAUAAAAAACAGGAGUUUACUGGAAAGGCGGGGUUCCAAUGCAUCCUUGACUAUAAGCUUAACACCCCCACCACCCCAAAAAUCGGCUAUCAAAGAAUGUAGCGCUCAACUGUCUUUGGAGAGUAAUACUCGAUGCCUUUCCUUCAAUGAACUCAGCUCUACAUUAGAAAAUGUUGAAAGUUUAACGAAAGAAUUCUGGGAAAUACCAAUGAAUCAUCCGGAUAAGGCGAUUGUUAGCGGUUCCGGUACAUUGAAUCGCUAUAGGACAAUUAUUCCGAACGAAACAACGCGAAUUAAGUUAAACGAACAAGAUGGUAAGCCAGGAUAUAUUAACGCUAAUUACAUCCGGGGCUACAACGGUCAGAAAAGAGCUUUCAUAGCUACUCAAGGUCCGAUGCCGCACACGAUAGUUGAUUUUUGGAAGAUGAUUUGGCAGGAGAAAUGUGAAAUAAUUAUUAUGAUUACGAAAUUGGAGGAAGAAGCAAGAAACAAGUGUGAAAUGUAUAUACCAGAAACUGGUGAUGUACGUCAUGGUGAUUUUGAAAUUUCCGUCGAGAAUAUUAGCUAUCAUUCGAGUUAUGAGAUACGAGCAAUUUGCUUCAGAUAUAAUGAUGAAUCAAGAACGGUGAAACAUUUUUGGUAUACUGCCUGGCCGGAUCAGAAAACUCCUGAAACGGCAAGAGAUUUGGUUCAACUAAUUGAGGAUGUCAAAUCGGUAAAGAGGGACCAACCCGUCGUCGUUCACUGUAGUGCUGGUAUUGGAAGAACCGGCUGUUUUAUAGCGACUUUUAUAGGCAUACUGCAGAUUUUAAUGGAAAAAAAGCUAUUUCAAUAAAAAAAAGGGUAAAUGGAAAAGUUUAUUGAAUAUUCAAGAUAAUAAAAGAAGAGAACGUUAUAAAAUUAUCUAUACGAAAGGAUUUUUGUUACAAGAUGUAUAGUUUAUUCUUCAAAAUUGCUGACAAUUCAACAAACAAGGCAGAAAAAGGAGAUCACAUGACGACAUUUAUGUACUAGCUUUAGGUUUAAACUUCUUAGCAUUGAGAAAAUUGUCUAGGAAACUGAGAGUCAAGUAGGUUGGCUUAUACUUCUUUGAUUACUUUUGUUUCGACGUGAUAGUCUUCUAUUUUAUAGGUUUCGAAAGCAACCGUCGUCUAGAAAGAAGCCAUACGGAAGUUUUAGAAUCGUACGAAUCUACGAAUCGUACAAGAGACAAGAGAGAAAGAGAAAGAGAAAAAGAGAGAGAGACGCUUCAAUUUCUAUAAAUACUUUAUACGGAAAUCUAGUUCUGUUAAACGGGCAAAAUGAGAAGGAGAAAAGAGAGCGAGAGAAAGUUAAAAACCUCCUCUUAACAAUAAUACAAUAUUUACAAAAUCUACCAACUAAGACAGAGACCCUUUUCUUCUAAUCUCUAUCUUCACUUACAUCAGUUCUUUGUUUUUUCCUCUCUUACUACUUUUUUUUUUUACAUUAAAAUACUAAUUGAGAAAGAUAUUCAUUAAGAUUAAUUAAUAUGUGAUAUACAGCAUGCAUAUUCUCGAGUUGUUUUUUCCAAGAACCUUUAAUGACGUUUAUAUUAGUCUUUU